This 765-nucleotide ribosomal RNA is filed under the name uncultured Streptococcus sp. RNAcentral's name for it is "bacterial SSU rRNA". It matches the Rfam family "Bacterial small subunit ribosomal RNA", at positions 28 to 776 of the family's 1533-position model. Lineage: Bacteria; Bacillati; Bacillota; Bacilli; Lactobacillales; Streptococcaceae. The record is from RNAcentral.
GACGAACGCUGGCGGCGUGCCUAAUACAUGCAAGUAGAACGCUGAAGAGAGGAGCUUGCUCUUCUUGGAUGAGUUGCGAACGGGUGAGUAACGCGUAGGUAACCUGCCUGGUAGCGGGGGAUAACUAUUGGAAACGAUAGCUAAUACCGCAUGAUAUUAAUUAUUGCAUGAUAAUUGAUUGAAAGAUGCAAUUGCAUCACUACCAGAUGGACCUGCGUUGUAUUAGCUAGUUGGUGAGGUAACGGCUCACCAAGGCGACGAUACAUAGCCGACCUGAGAGGGUGAUCGGCCACACUGGGACUGAGACACGGCCCAGACUCCUACGGGAGGCAGCAGUAGGGAAUCUUCGGCAAUGGGGGGAACCCUGACCGAGCAACGCCGCGUGAGUGAAGAAGGUUUUCGGAUCGUAAAGCUCUGUUGUAAGAGAAGAACGGGUGUGAGAGUGGAAAGUUCACACUGUGACGGUAUCUAACCAGAAAGGGACGGCUAACUACGUGCCAGCAGCCGCGGUAAUACGUAGGUCCCGAGCGUUGUCCGGAUUUAUUGGGCGUAAAGCGAGCGCAGGCGGUUAGAUAAGUCUGAAGUUAAAGGCUGUGGCUUAACCAUAGUAUGCUUUGGAAACUGUUUAACUUGAGUGCAGAAGGGGAGAGUGGAAUUCCAUGUGUAGCGGUGAAAUGCGUAGAUAUAUGGAGGAACACCGGUGGCGAAAGCGGCUCUCUGGUCUGUAACUGACGCUGAGGCUCGAAAGCGUGGGGAGCAAACAGG